Molecule: ribosomal RNA, 425 nt
Filed under: uncultured bacterium
Lineage: Bacteria
Description: bacterial SSU rRNA
Rfam family: Bacterial small subunit ribosomal RNA
Source: RNAcentral
GGGGAAUUUUGGACAAUGGGGGAAACCCUGAUCCAGCCAUUCCGCGUGUGUGAAGAAGGCCUUCGGGUUGUAAAGCACUUUUGGCGGGAAAGAAACGGCGUCGACUAAUACUCGGCGUAACUGACGGUACCCGCAGAAUAAGCACCGGCUAACUACGUGCCAGCAGCCGCGGUAAUACGUAGGGUGCAAGCGUUAAUCGGAAUUACUGGGCGUAAAGCGUGCGCAGGCGGUUCGGAAAGAAAGAUGUGAAAUCCCAGGGCUCAACCUUGGAACUGCAUUUUUAACUACCGGACUAGAGUAUGUCAGAGGGGGGUGGAAUUCCACGUGUAGCAGUGAAAUGCGUAGAUAUGUGGAGGAACACCGAUGGCGAAGGCAGCCCCCUGGGAUAAUACUGACGCUCAUGCACGAAAGCGUGGGGAGCAAAC